Molecule: microRNA precursor, 83 nt
Organism: Anolis carolinensis (green anole)
Lineage: Eukaryota; Metazoa; Chordata; Lepidosauria; Squamata; Anolidae
Source: Ensembl
UGCACUCCUCAGCCACUGCCAAGAUCUAAAUCUCCAGAUCUGAACCCUGGAGGUUUAAAUCAUGCCAGCGGUAAAGGAGUGCA